Amaranthus tricolor (Joseph's coat) is the source of this 8862-nucleotide long non-coding RNA. RefSeq lists it as uncharacterized. The transcript is spliced from 4 exons. The record is from RefSeq and is a predicted model, not a curated record. Lineage: Eukaryota; Viridiplantae; Streptophyta; Magnoliopsida; Caryophyllales; Amaranthaceae.
AUAAUGAAAAUUGAUGAGAUUAUAAGCCCAAGGUAGCGCCUCACCAUGAAUACAUAAGGCUACAUAAACGGCUAUAUUCCCAACGGCCAUAUUCCAUAAACGGCUAUCACUAUUCCCUCUCCGUAGGAACUCACCGCCGCCGGUGUUCGUUCUCUUCCCACCAACGGAAUUCCGGCAACCGACGUCUGGGCAGAGGAUUCUACUAAAAGGGAAUCUGGCACUAAGGUUCAUCAUGCUAACAUCCGAGCAGCUAAGGUACCCUACCGGCAAACCAACAAUUGGGAUCAGUUUAUCGGAGUACCAGACAAGAUAACGACCGACAACCAAUUCCAAAUCAGCAAUUCAACAGAGAGAACAUCUUCAACUUCGACGGCACGCCACCAGGAUAGCCACCAGGAUAGCCACCAGCUAAGGGCAUUGUCCUCUUCCCUUUUCUUCCUUUCAUUUAUCUUUUCAUUUAUUUUUUUUAUAUUUACUUAUUGUGUUUGUUUUAGUGUAGCCUAUUGUGUGAUAUUGUUUUGUUGUGCUUUAGUUAGUGUUCUGCACCGAUAUUGGGUCCUCCGGACUCUUAAUCUUGCACACAAUCAGUCCUCUGCAUUACGUGGAGGAUGAUUGACUCAAACUCACACAAAACAACCGCCAAUCAACCCAAGAAACCAAUUCUUGGUUUUCAGGCCAGCCUUGGUCACCCUCUGAUUUGGCUUCACUCACCAACGAGAAAUGACCCCGCACACCCUCCCUCGAGUUCCACUCAAAUAAGGGAAGAUGACACUCUAAAUUGUUCCACAAUUAGAGUGUAGAAGAUGUUCCACACGUUCUUGCAAAGCUGAGAUUGUAAUGACAAACACACACAAAGGAGAGGAAUAUAACCUUGAGGAAAUGAAGAAGAAUUCUUAUUAAUCACCAAACUUAAUGAAUGUACAUGAGAGACAACCUAUAUUUAUAGUUUUCUAGCUAGCUAACGGCUAAUAACAUCACGUGCAUUACAUCAUGUGUUUUAAAGACACAAAACAGAAGCAUAAAACUAAGUCAGAACACUGAUUCUGAUUUCAGCACCAGCCUGCUGACUGGGAAACCUUGCACAUGGAUUUUAGAGAGUUGUGUGAGUCAUCAACAGGGUUCUUGGCCCUUGAUGGCUAGGUCCAUGUGCCAAGAUUCCAUUUCUACAUUAGUCCAGGUCCUGGGUGCACAGGUCUGGUCUCCUCGUGUCGUGCAAGGUGGCUUGGUCGCUAGCUGCUGUGCUGUUCUGUAUGGUCUGUAUGGGCUGUUCUGAUCUGCGAUUGGGUUCCUUUGGGCUUCCGUUCCAAGUGAUUGUGUGCGCUUCCAGCAUGGAUCUUGGACCUUGAUGGCUUGGUCCAUGUAUGGAGAUCACGUUUCCAUGGUUGUUUGGCCCCAGGUCUCCUUUGUUAAGGCUCAAACCACGCUGCAAAGUAAGCUGGUCAGCGGGUGUCUUGCUAUUUUGACCUGCUGCUGUUUUCUGUUCUUCCUAAGCAUUCUGAUGUGUUUGUGGGUUUGCUGUGUUGUUCUUUGUAUGAUAACCUUGAUUCUUUGUGUGAUCUUCAUCCUUAUGAGUUGAGUGAGGUUGAGGUGCAUCUUCAUUAGUUUGUACUGAACCAUGGGCUGAGGUAUGUUUUGAGGUUAGGCACACAUGGUUCAUGUUCCCUUUAAAGUUUUUUUGGUAACCUUUCUAACUUAGUCCUGAGUAAUUGAAUAUAGAGUUAGAAAGCAAUUGUGGUCUUAUUAUUAUUAUUAUUAUUAUUAUUAUUAUUAUUAUUAUUAUUAUUAUUAUUAUUAUUAUUGUUAUUAUUGUUAUUAUUGUUAUCGUUCGUUAUCGUCAUCGGUCUUUGCUUCCUGAGGUUAAGGCUGGCUGUGUCAUUAAUCUUACUUCCAAACUUUUCAUCCUUAGCUGGUUUUGCAUUAUUACCUUUUGAAGUAUUGAUGAAGAACCCAUUAUUUAGCACUUGAAGAAUUGAUGAAGAACUCAUUUGUUGUCUAGUAGGAAUUGGAAUAUAUCCAUCAACAGCAUCCAUAAGUUUAUAAAUUUUAUCAACCCAUUCAUUUUCAGUUUUCACCCCUCUUAAUAUUAGGGUUCUUCAUCAAUUUAUCAAUUCUUAUUUUGAGAUAUGUCUUAUUUUAUUCCCAACAAAUUAAAUAAUUUUUAUUGUUCAUUAUUAGAUCUAAUCUAAAUUAUUAAAUAAAUUAGUUGUGUUAAUUUUAUUGUUAUUAUUAUUAUUAUUGUUAUUAUUGUAAUUAUUAUUAUUAUUAUUAUUAUUAUUAUUAUUAUUAUUGUCAUAAUUAUUAUUAUUAUUAUUAUUAUUAUUAUUAUUAUUAUUAUUGUCAUUAUUAUUAUUAUUAUUAUUAUUAUUAGGGAAAUUAUCAAUGGUGCCCUUGUACUAUUGAAAAAUUACAAUGGUACCCAACUGCAUUUCAGUGGUACCCCCCAAUUAUAUGGUAAUUACAACCGUGACCUUAAUGAUGAAUUUUUCGUUAAAUGUCCGUUAAAUUUGGAAUUUAACCUAAUCAUGGUUAGUUUCUUCAUCUUCUUCCCUUUUCUCUUUCAUGGCUGCUCUUUCCCUCCGUAGCUUGCUCAACAUGUAAACUAGUCCUCCAACUUGAAGGAUAAUUCACCACUUCCAAAGGUUGCAUCGAAGAAUCAACAUCCUCAACAUUAGUUGUCUCAACAAUUUCUUCAAGAUCAUCUACAACCUCUACACAAGAUGCCUCAACAUCUCCUUUAAGAUCAUUAAUCACCUCUACAAAAGAUGCUUCAACAAUUUCUUCACUACCCUCUUCAUUGCAUGAAUCUGGAUAUUCAUCAUAGAUAGGAACCACACUUGAAUACAAGUCGAGUUCCUCUUGUUUAGAAGCAAUUUCAUCACCUUUUGUCUCCACAAUGGAUGGUUCUUGAUUGUUAAAAGAAGAAAACAAUGGUGUGCUGUGUGUAUCAACAUGCUUUGAAAUGAUCUCAAAUUUAAUCCUAACCGGAUCAACAUCAGGAUUAAACUCAUGAACAAUUACCAUUUUAGAAUCUCCAUGUUGCUCUUGCAAUUGUUGUUGAAAUCUCAGCUUUUCUUGACGAAGUUCAAACUUCCUCUUCAAGCUUUGCUUUUGACUCCUAACAUCCACCAAUUUUUUAAGACAAAGACACAAUUGAGCCCAAUCCCUUUGACGGUAACAGUCCACUUUCAACCUCACAAGCCUUUCCUCCUCCAAAUUCAAUAUGUUUAGGUGAAGGUUUUCAAGUGCACACUCUAGUUUAUCCAAUGAUUUAUGUGUGUUCAUGUCUGCUUCCGUUGAUUUCAUAUUCUAAGGCUCAAGAAUCUCUCAAAAAUUAAGUAUGAGAUUAAGGGUAAGAGUGAAAAAGAAAGAAAAACAAAGAAAUGAAGUUUGGAAUUUUUUGUGCACAAAACAGAAAGAAAAUAGAACCAAACACCCCAAAUUCAGAAAUCUGUGUGAAAUGUUUGCUACUGAAAACCCGAACAAACAAAAUCCAAGUAUGAUGAAACUUGGUGACAACACACCUCAAGAUGUCUACAAACACCCCAAAUUGGAAAUACUCAAAUACGUGGUCUAGUUUGAUCAUAAAUCAGAUUUCACUACACACAUACAGUCUGAAUUGUUUCUGUGACCUUUGGUCAAAAACACUUGCGCAUCUUUUUGUUCACAACUCCAAUGACUACACAAAAAGGCUUACCAAAAACUAGACUCAAAAUGAAUCAAUACGAAAAAAAGAAACAAUGAAAAAGACUCAAAAAUGAAGGAGACACAACGAAAAUACGGAAGACAAAUACAAAUGAGACUCUCCUGUACUUUGAGAAACAACAAUGAAAUGGGUCAAUCAAGAAACCUAUGAAACGUAAGAAAAAGCGCACAAAUGAUGUGGUUUAAUGAAUAUAGGAUAUUUAUUGAUAAUUUGGUGAAAGAUGAGAGAAAAAUAAAAGAAUCUUGAUAGGUUUUCGAAGACAACUUACCAAGGUACCCGGAUUUCAUCAGUUUUGGGCAGUCUGUAAAGAAAAAUUCAUAUCUCCUUAACCACAACACCAAAACUAAUGAUUCCAAAGCCAAAACUUUCCCAACUGAAUCCGAAAUACCGUGUAAAAACAGUUUUGAAAACAAACCACAAUACGAUCCCCAAAACACUACUACUUUCGACCCCAAAUGCAGUCAGUUUCUGACAGCUUCUGUUUCUUCUUGUUAUUGCGACUUUUGUCUGUUGUUGCUCAUCAAAAUCGAUUGAAUUAUGAACCCCAAGGACUUUGAGGCUCUGAUACCAAUUGAUCCAAGUACGCGUGGUCAACGCACGAAUUGGAUUUGAAACGAAGAUGAGGGAUAUUCCAAGAAACUGACACGAAGAAUAGGUGUAAGAACUGGACUGCCAGACUCCUUAAUCACUCAACUCUAUGCUUCCUCCUUUGAUCUGCAAGGGAGUUAACAGCAUCUAUUGAUGGGGAGGAGUGGUGUCUUGAUGAACACACAAGAACACGCACAACCUUGAAGGGCAAAAUUGGCCCUUUGUAACCCAAUUGCAAAGCAAUUGAAAAAAAAUUCACUUGAUGAAAUUUCAGAACGUUAUCAUUCAUAACUUCUCAUUACAAUGAACAAGCCAUCUAUAUAUAGACGUAAGGGAAGAGGGAAAUACAAUGAGAAGGCUAAUGACACGUCUAACUAACAAUAACGGUCAUAAAGGAGCACGUGCACAACAUGUGCUUCAUUAAAACAUAAAAACAAGCUGCAAAAGUAUUCUGAAAUUCUGACAGAAGGGCUGCUGACCAGGCGACCUUCCACCCACUUUCUUGUGCUCUUCCCAAGGUUGAUAAUGGCCACUAAGAGUCUUGGUGGCAAGAUUCUAGUGUAGAGAUUCCAUUUCUAUCCUUGGUUGUCCCGUAGAUCAAAAGGUACGUUCAGGCCAAGGCUCACAAGGUCAGCUGGUCAUAAGAUCAGUGCUGAUUUGUUUCGAACCAGCUGCUGACUACACGACCUUGCACACGGAUUUCAGAGAGUUGUGUGAGUUAUUAAUAGGGCUCUUGGCCCUUAAUGGCUAGGUCCAUGUGCCAAGAUUCCAUUUCUACUGUAGCCCAGGUCGUGGAUGCACCGGUUUGGUCUUCACGUGUCGUGCAAGGUGGGUUGUUCGCUAGUUUUGCUGCUGUGCUGUUCUGCUGCUGUUUUCAGUGUUCUGUGUAUGUUGUUGGCUUUCCUUGUUCUUGCCUUUGUAUCUAUUUCUCCAUGAUUAAUUCAUCCCCCUUCCUAGCUGUCUUGGCUCUCAUUUCAUUCAAGAUCCAUGGGUGAAUCACUAAGUGCAGAACCAGAAUCAUCAGAAACAUUAGAGUAGCUUCAGUAGCUCCUGUUGCUCUUGUUGCUUCAGUUGCUAUCUCUGUCUUUGCGGUUGCUUCUUGAUGCCUUUGGGCUUACGUUACUUCCUUCAUCUAAGCCUAGUUGAUUUGGCUCAAUCUCAUCUACAUACAUGUCUUCAAGGUCAUCUUGUAUUGAACCAUGUGAUUGAGAGAUGCACAUGACUUGGGAGAUGCAUGUGCAUAUGGUUGAACAACACACGUCCAUUCAUCCACUUAUUGCCAAGCUACCAAGAUCUAAACCAAUAUGGUUCAAUCCCUCCUUCUUGGAAAAAGAAUUGUCCUCAAUUCUUGACCUGUAUGUUGUGACUAGCUGAAUGUGUGCACAAGAUUGAUGUGUUGUUGGAUAGGACAUCUUCUGAAUUCUGUUGCACGCAAAUAAAUCUGCUGCUGCACCUUCUGUGUUGUCCUUAAUUCUUGAACCAACAAAACAAGAACAGUAGACUAUCAUACUCAUUAAUAGCUUCAUAGAACAACUUCAGUUGCACUAUAUAUACUCAUUAAUAGCUUUAAGGAACAAUUCCAGCUGUUGUUGUGUUUAAGUUGCUGCACUACAAUGUUAAUGUACAUAUAUUUCUAGCACAAACUACUAGCAAACUUUAAUUAAAUUAGGAAUCAGGUUUCCCAUGACCAUUACACAUGUAAGGAAGAAUGUUGUUGCCCUUACUUGCAUAAUGAACCACACCCAUAUAUUAAACAAGCUUACCAAGAAGAUUAGCUUGCUCGUAUUACCAAGGCUACACUCUGCUUGUUGCAUUCUCCCCUUUUUAGAAAAAAUCCUUCCUCGAAUUUUUGUAGGAUGAACCUCAACAAAUCUACUAACAUGAGCAAACUCCACAAAGUGUGUUUGUUUAACCACAUGAUCAAUGUGAACAAACUUUCCCUCCGUAGCUUGCACAACAUGUAAACUAGUCCUCCAACUUGAAGGAUAAUUCACCACUUCCAAAGGUUGCAUCAAAGAAUCAACAUCCUCAACAUUAGUUGUCUCAACAAUUUCUUCAAGAUCAUCUACAACCUCUACACAAGAUGCCUCAACAUCUCCUUUAAGAUCAUUAAUCACCUCUACACAAGAUGCUUCAACAAUUUCUUCACUACCCUCUUCAUUGCAUGAAUCUGGAUAUUCAUCAUAGAUAGGAACCACACUUGAAUACAAGUCGAGUUCCUCUUGUUUAGAAGCAAUUUCAUCACCUUUUGUCUCCACAAUGGAUGGUUCUUGAUUGUUAAAAGAAGAAAACAAUGGUGUGCUGUGUGUAUCAACAUGCUUUGAAAUGAUCUCAAAUUUAAUCCUAACCGGAUCAACAUCAGGAUUAAACUCAUGAACAAUUACCAUUUUAGAAUCCCCAUGUUGCUCUUGCAAUUGUUGUUGAAAUCUCAGCUUUUCUUGACGAAGUUCAAACUUCCUCUUCAAGCUUUGCUUUUGACUCCUAACAUCCACCAAUUUUUUUAAGAAAAAGACACAAUUGAGCCCAAUCCCUUUGACGGUAACAGUCCACUUUCAACCUCACAAGCCUUUCCUCCUCCAAAUUCAAUAUGUUUAGGUGAAGGUUUUCAAGUGCACACUCUAGUUUAUCCAAUGAUUUAUGUGUGUUCAUGUCUGCUUCCGUUGAUUUCAUAUUCUAAGGCUCAAGAAUCUCUCAAAAAUUAAGUAUGAGAGUAAGGGUAAGAGUGAAAAAGAAAGAAAAACAAAGAAAUGAAUUUUGGAAUUUUUUGUGCACAAAACAGAAAGAAAAUAGAACCAAACACCCCAAAUUCAGAAAUCUGUGUGAAAUGUUUGCUACUGAAAACCCGAACAAACAAAAUCCAAGUAUGAUGAAACUUGGUGACAACACACCUCAAGAUGUCUACAAACACCCCAAAUUGAAAAUACUCAAAUACGUGGUCUAGUUUGAUCAUAAAUCAGAUUUCACUACACACAUACAGUCUGAAUUGUUUCUGUGACCUUUGGUCAAAAACACUUGCGCAUCUUUUUGUUCACAACUCCAAUGACUACACAAAAAGGCUUACCAAAAACUAGACUCAAAAUGAAUCAAUACGAAAAAAAGAAACAAUGAAAAAGACUCAAAAAUGAAGGAGACACAACGAAAAUACGGAAGACAAAUACAAAUGAGACUCUCCUGUACUUUGAGAAACAACAAUGAAAUGGGUCAAUCAAGAAACCUAUGAAACGUAAGAAAAAGCGCACAAAUGAUGUGGUUUAAUGAAUAAAGGAUAUUUAUUGAUAAUUUGGUGAAAGAUGAGAGAAAAAUAAAAGAAUCUUGAUAGGUUUUCGAAGACAACUUACCAAGGUACCCGGAUUUCAUCAGUUUUGGGCAGUCUGUAAAGAAAAAUUCAUAUCUCCUUAACCACAACACCAAAACUAAUGAUUCCAAAGCCAAAAGUUUCGAAGACAAAUAUUAUUUUUAUUAUUAUUAUUAUUUUUUUUAUUUAUUAUUUUUAUUAUUUUUAUUAUUAUUAUUUUUAUUUAUUUAUUUAUUAUUUUCAUUUUAUUAUUAUUAUUAUUAUGUUUUUUUAAAAUUUUUUUUAUUUUUAUUAUUAUUAUUAUUUUAUUUUUAUUAAUAUUAUUAUUAUUAUUAUUAUUAGACAAAAUGUUAAAAAACUACCUAGUAUAUACCCCAUUUUGCAAAAAACUACCUUAAUUAAAAAUUUUUGCAAAAAACUACCUUAUAUAAUACAAUUGUUUGCAAAACACUACCUUAUAACAAAUUGUGGUCUUUGACCGCUAUCUUUAACCGUUGACCCGCAUGUGACACGCACGUGAUACUUUAAUUGUAUGACUUCUUCUUCAUUUCAGUUCAGCCCAUUCGAAAAUCCUUUCAAUCCUGCCAUUUCCAGCGACAACUCCAUUGAUGUAGCUUCUCAUUUCGCUCCCAUCCACCUCGUAACUUCAUCUCCUUGAAAUUUCUAAGCAAAUUCGCGAUUUUUCUAUUGAAUUCAAGCAACGGAGAUGUGGUAAUUGUAGUGACCUAGGUCACUACAAAAAAAGCUGCAAGAAUCCACCAAAACCACCACCAACAAAGACCAAGUCAAAGGGUGGUAGGCCUAAAAUGGGAUCUUCUUCUACUCAACAAUCUACAACAAAUGAUGUGCCUAGCUCCAGUGGUCAACAACAAACGCAAAAUGCUGCAUCUACUUCAUGUGUAAUGGAUCAAAAUAGUCAAAUAUAAACUUGUGAAGAGUAAUUUACUGUUGAAUGUAAUGUGUUGAAUUAGUAGAAGUGUAUGAGUUUCAAAUUGUAAUGUGUAUGAACUAAGAAUGUACUAUGUUGAACUGUAUUUUAGCAAAUCAGUGUAUGAACUGAGAAUGUAAUGUGUUGAAUUAAGUGCAACAAAUUUAGUUAUUGUGUUGAAUUAAGUGCAGCAAAUUUAGUUACUGUGUUGAAUUAAGUGCAGCAAAUUUAGCCAGUGCUGAAAAUGAAAGCUGAAGAACAUUCUUGAAUGCAAGCAUGUAAUAGCUGUGCUGAACUGAGAGUGUAAUAGCCAGUAAAUUUGUUAAUUACAGUGACCUCACUGUGUUU